This 428-nucleotide ribosomal RNA is filed under the name uncultured prokaryote. Its description in RNAcentral is "bacterial SSU rRNA". It matches the Rfam family "Bacterial small subunit ribosomal RNA", at positions 355 to 774 of the family's 1533-position model. The record is from RNAcentral.
UGAGGAAUUUUGCGCAAUGGGAGCAAUCCUGACGCAGCAACGCCGCGUGGGUGAUGAAGGCCUUCGGGUCGUAAAGCACUGUCAGGUGGGAAGAAUGUCCCGGGACUGAACAGGUUCCGGGAGUGACGGUACCACCAGAGGAAGCACCGGCUAACUACGUGCCAGCAGCCGCGGUAAUACGGAGGGUGAAAGCGUUCUUCGGAAUUACUGGGCGUAAAGCGCGUGUAGGCGGUCCUGCAAGUCUGAUGUGAAAGCCCCGGGCUUAACCCGGUAAGUGCAUUGGAAACUGUUGGACUUUAGUACUGGAUAGGAUGGGGGAAUUCCCGGUGUAGAGGUGAAAUUCUUAGAGAUCGGGAGGAAUAUCAGUGGCGAAGGCGCCCAUCUGGACGGUAACUGACGCUGAGACGCGAAAGCGUGGGGAGCAAACA